RNAcentral lists this ribosomal RNA (453 nucleotides) under uncultured bacterium. RNAcentral describes it as "bacterial SSU rRNA". It matches the Rfam family "Bacterial small subunit ribosomal RNA", at positions 917 to 1382 of the family's 1533-position model. The record is from RNAcentral.
GGACCCGCACAAGCAGCGGAGCGUGUGGUUUAAUUCGAGGCUACGCGCAGAACCUUACCAGGGAUUGACAUGACUGUGGUAGUGAAGCGAAAGCGGAACGACCCUUCGGGGAGCAGUCACAGGUGAUGCAUGGCUGUCGUCAGCUCGUGCCGUGAGGUGUUUGGUUAAGUCCACUAACGAGCGCAACCCCUAGCCUCGGUUACACGUGUCUGAGGCGACUGCCGGUAUUAAGCCGGAGGAAGGUGGGGAUGACGUCAAGUCCGCAUGUCCUUUAUAUCCUGGGCUACACACACGCUACAAUGGCCAGUACAGUGGGUCGCGAAGCCGCGAGGCGGAGCCAAUCCUAAAAAGCUGGUCUCAGUUCGGAUUGCAGGCUGCAACCCGCCUGCAUGAAGUCGGAGUUGCUAGUAACCGCAGGACAGCUAUACUGCGGUGAAUACGUUCCCGGGUCUU